RNAcentral lists this long non-coding RNA (1222 nucleotides) under Marmota monax (woodchuck). Lineage: Eukaryota; Metazoa; Chordata; Mammalia; Rodentia; Sciuridae. The record is from RNAcentral.
CAUCUCUGCUCUUUGAGAUCUGCUUCUAUUGUUUUAUUUUUUUCUUCUGGUUUUGAAUCAAUUUUCUUCCUUUGCAAAAGCUUUAUUUUUAUUGAAUGAUAGAUAUUGUGAUUUUUUUUUGUUUUGUUUUUGCUGUUUACUGGGUUUGGUUCUGUCCCUUGAAAUCAUGUUGGAUUUUGUUCUGGUGUAAAGUCAAUUUAGGAUCAGUUGCAUUCUUUCAAGUCUUUUGUUUUGAACUUUGUUAGGGCACAUUCAGAGCAGCCUUGAGUUAGAGGCAAUGUAGCACCAGAACUAAGAUAGUACUAAUCUGUAGACUCUACUUGAUGCCUUCAUAUUAUGAGGCUUUAACAGUGGCUGGUAGGACAUAAGCUAUUCUUGGCCCUGUGUGAAUCCUAGAAUUUGUUUCAAAUUUUCAAUUGCUUUCUAAAACUCAUCCUUGGCUUCUUAAAAAUUAUGCAGACAUUUAAAUAAAGUCAAAUACAGAAUACAAAACUCUUGAUAAAUGUGAUUUCCAAUUCACCUUCCAAUGUAAGUAUUCAUAGGAUAACCAGUCUUCAAAAAGUUUAUGAAGCCAUAGAAUUAUAGUCCAAAAAAAACUUUCUCCAUGUGUUUGGUCCAACUCAACAUCUAUGGUGCUUUAGUUUCUUCUAUGGCAGUCACAUCAACUGUCAUCUAGUCUUAAGUUAAGCAUCCCAGUGAUAGAAAUCCCUAAAGAUAUUUGAAUUAAGUUAUUAGAAUCCUUGUGAGUCAUCUCUUUGCCAUGGUAUAUUUGUCUUUCCUCAGCUUUUACAUGCGACAUAAUAUUGAGCCCUGUUACAACAAAUGAUGGGAUUCUCCAAUUGUCUUUGAACUUACAUCAUCAAUUCUGCAUACAUAGUGCUAUCUUGUUAAUUAAUUAUUGCCCAGGAGCUCUUUUUUCUUUAUAUAUAUGCACCUCUGAUCUUCUACUUACUAACAUCCUAUUCUAUACACAUAUCCCUCCACCUCCCUUCAUCAAGACUGAUCUAUAUCUUCUCUCAUAACCUGGACCUCUGAGAUACAAGUGUUAACUCAUUUACAAAUGUUUUUAUCUUGACACUCUUUAAUUUCUUACCUAGGGAAUGAGUAGCCUGUGAAUUUUAGGGGCACUGAGAAAUCCAAUAAGGGAUGCUCUGUAAAUGAUGAUACUUCUUGGCAGCUACAUCUUGACAUUAUCUGUUCAAUUUUAAUAACCUGUCCCUGG